RNAcentral lists this unclassified non-coding RNA (201 nucleotides) under uncultured fungus. RNAcentral describes it as "sequence contains ITS1, 5.8S rRNA gene". The record is from RNAcentral. Lineage: Eukaryota; Fungi.
UUAACUAUUAUAUAGUACUCAGACAACACUAAUAUUCAGAGUUUGGGGUCCUCUGGCGGGCGCUUAUCAGCUGGAGCCGAUAGCCUGACCGAAAUCUGACGGCCCGCCAAAGCAACAAAGGUAAUAAUAACACAGGGUGGGAGAUCUACCCGUAAGGGCAUGAACUCUGUAAUGAUCCUUCCGCAGGUUCACCUACGGAAA